This 388-nucleotide unclassified non-coding RNA is filed under the name Bedfordia linearis. RNAcentral describes it as "partial external transcribed spacer". The record is from RNAcentral. Lineage: Eukaryota; Viridiplantae; Streptophyta; Magnoliopsida; Asterales; Asteraceae.
AACUUCCACCUGGCUUACCUCCUCAGUUAUGCGUCAAGGCUUGUAUCGCCCCGAGCGUAUUGUGGGUUUCCUGUGUUGCUUACCUAAUUGACGGUAUUGUUUGAAUUGAUUGAAGUCCCUUUUCGUCUUGUGUUGCAUAUGUGAUGCAUGACGAACCUUGAUGCGGUCUCUAUGAUCCACCCCGUUGAUGCAAAUGUAUCGAUCGUGUGGCCCAUUGAGCAUUGCUUGGUCUCUUGGAUACGGAACAUGGUGUGGGCAUAGGGUCUCUUAUGAUCCUUGUUUGCCCUCGUUUAGUGUUCUCUAGAACGACGGUUCACGCGCGCCUAGGCUCGUACCUGCGCGGUGUUCUAUGUCGAAGAGGAAUGCUACCUGGUUGAUCCUGCCAGUA